Long non-coding RNA from Choloepus didactylus (southern two-toed sloth), 968 nucleotides. RefSeq lists it as uncharacterized. The record is from RefSeq and is a predicted model, not a curated record. The transcript has 5 exons. NCBI's taxonomy places the organism in Eukaryota, Metazoa, Chordata, Mammalia, Pilosa, Megalonychidae.
AGACACCGCACAUACGGCACAAGAUGGCCGGAGAGGCAGCAGCAACCCGAGCUGUCAGGCGAUCGGCCGCGGUUGCAGAGCCCGCCGGCCAGCGAGGAGCUGCGCCCGGACCGCCCGCAGGCCCGCGGAAGCGGGGCGGCGGCGGCUGAGGCGAGGCGGGCCGCGCGCCGAUGUUGGAGCCCGCGGCAGAGGCGCCCGGGGCAGCCGGGCCCGCGACGCCGAAAGCGCCGCUGCGGCAGCGGCUGCGGUGGCUCCCCGGGGCCUCGACGCCUUGGCCCGGCGCGGGAGGGAAACUCGAGCGGGCAGCUUAGCCCGGCGCUCGGGUGCGGGCGGCCAGGAGAGCCGACGGUCGCGCUUGGACCUGGUAACUUAGAAGAUUAAAAUUAACUUGGUUGCGGAUGGUUCUGAACAAAACAGCCCUUAUACUUGAGGUGUGCCAUUUUGUAUGCCAUUUUGAAAACCGAGAAUGGAGUUUCAUCCUUGAGGAUGAAGGAGAUCUUUGGAAAAGUCUAUCUUUUAUGUUGUAGAAAUGUGAAUCCUGAGACUGAAUUCUCUAAAGGUCCUGUACAAAGUAAUAGACGUUGGUGGAAGCAUUUUCACCCAGUCAGCUUGAAGAGCCUCAAAUGGAUCGUACCACUGAGAAAUCAAGAUGGCAGUCUACUGUGGGGAAUUGAGGAAAAUGGAUUAAUAUACCAAUGCCGUGAUAAUAUACAACCAUGACAGGGUUCUUUUAACAUGGAUUCCAUGAAAUGAAGAUAAUAGGUUUCUUACCCAACACAAAUGGACAGUGGACUUAACUUUGUAAAGAUUUUUUAUAUCAUUAAAACCAAGUACAUUUUUGACACUUGGAGAAGAAAGUUGGCAUGUUAUAGAUGCUAGUUUGUAUGCUUGCAAUUUCUUACAGUUUGACUUGUAUGAGUAUGACCUUAUGGAAUGUUAACUCCAAUAAAAUUUCUAACACUUUGAAA